Molecule: long non-coding RNA, 874 nt
Organism: Erinaceus europaeus (western European hedgehog)
Lineage: Eukaryota; Metazoa; Chordata; Mammalia; Eulipotyphla; Erinaceidae
Exons: 3
Source: RefSeq, a predicted model, not a curated record
UUUUAAUCAAGCUGAAGCAAUAGGACAUAGACUUUUCAAAGCUCCAAGUGGGUCCAGGAGUUUGGGUGGCCAGGCUCCAUGAUUCUGCCCCCUACUGACAAACUGAAGCUGGAUACUAAGGGGCUUUCCUGGGGAGCCUUAUCCUCCCUGUGAGGAGGGUCUGUGCAAGAAUAUACAGAGCUGGUAGGAGCCUUAGGGAUUUCUCUGCCCCAAUUCCAUCACCACCCAAGUGCUAGGAGCUGCUUCUUGGUGGAGCUAAGUAAUGAUCAUUGGAAGUUUCCCAAAGCUGUGAAAGAGACUUAUCUCUUAAAUUUGAAGUCUGGAGUUUUAAUAUCUGUCCCGUGGCUGCAUCACCAUCCCCUUUGUUUCUUUUCUUGUUUUCAAAUGAGGAUUAAAGGGAAAAACAGAUGGACAGCAGUCAUGAGAUUCCUCAAAGAAAAUCGAGCUACAAUAUCAUCCAGUAAUUCUACUCCUGAGCAUCUAGGAAGGGGAUAGAAAAACACACACUUGAAAUGGUGGUUGCACUCUGAUGUGAGUGCCAUUCAUGGUAGCCCAGACAAUGGAAGCAACCAACCCCAGUGCCCAUCAACAGAUGAGUGGAUACAGAAGACGUGGAGCUCUUGUACAAGCACAUCGUGACUUUUCAAAAAACCCAAGAUAUAGAAAUACUACUCAGCUGUUGAAAAUGAUGAAGUUACCUCCUUUGCCUCAUCUUGCAUGGAACUCGAAGGAAUCAGGCUAAGUGAGAUAAAAGCCAAAAACAAGAAGGAUGAAUACUGGAUGAUCUCACUUAGAUGGAAUUUAAUGAGGACUGAAAGAGAAAACGCAAAGUGAAACUUGGACUGGAUGUGGUAUACUGUACCAAAACAAAGGA